RNAcentral lists this ribosomal RNA (253 nucleotides) under uncultured bacterium. RNAcentral's name for it is "partial 16S ribosomal RNA". It matches the Rfam family "Bacterial small subunit ribosomal RNA", at positions 524 to 776 of the family's 1533-position model. The record is from RNAcentral.
UACGUAGGCGGCAAGCGUUGUCCGGAUUUACUGGGCGUAAAGAGCGCGCAGGCGGUCGUUCAAGUCGCGUGUGAAAGCCCCCGGCUCAACUGGGGAGGGUCACGCGAUACUGAUCGACUGGAAGGCAGGAGAGGGUAGUGGAAUUCCCGGUGUAGUGGUGAAAUGCGUAGAUAUCGGGAGGAACACCAGUGGCGAAGGCGACUACCUGGCCUGUUCUUGACGCUGAGGCGCGAAAGCUAGGGGAGCAAACGGG